CACGCAUAAAUCGAGAAA
Molecule: non-coding RNA, 18 nt
Filed under: Arabidopsis thaliana (thale cress)
Lineage: Eukaryota; Viridiplantae; Streptophyta; Magnoliopsida; Brassicales; Brassicaceae
Source: RNAcentral